UACGGAGGAUGCGAGCGUUAUCCGGAUUUAUUGGGUUUAAAGGGUGCGUAGGCGGGCUUUUAAGUCAGCGGUAAAAAUUCGGGGCUCAACCCCGUCCGGCCGUUGAAACUGGGGGCCUUGAGUGGGCGAGAAGUAUGCGGAAUGCGUGGUGUAGCGGUGAAAUGCAUAGAUAUCACGCAGAACCCCGAUUGCGAAGGCAGCAUGCCGGCUUCCUACUGACGCUGAAGCACGAAAGCGUGGGGAUCGAACAGG
RNAcentral lists this ribosomal RNA (252 nucleotides) under uncultured bacterium. RNAcentral's name for it is "partial 16S ribosomal RNA". It matches the Rfam family "Bacterial small subunit ribosomal RNA", at positions 524 to 776 of the family's 1533-position model. The record is from RNAcentral.